RNAcentral lists this long non-coding RNA (6487 nucleotides) under Equus asinus (donkey). RNAcentral's name for it is "lncRNA (ENSEASG00005027346.1)". The record is from RNAcentral. Lineage: Eukaryota; Metazoa; Chordata; Mammalia; Perissodactyla; Equidae.
GGCCUCAGUAUGCUUAUCAAGGCCUUGGCUGAGCUGUGCUCGCUCCAGAGCUCCAACCUCACAACACUGCAGCUCUCUGUCCAUGAAGAGUUCCUUUCAAUCCUUUUGUCACUUUGCUAAGGCCAUCUUUUGAAACUUGACUCUGGUCGUCCUGGUUCGUUUGUACCACUUAGAAUAACAUGCACUAGAGUUGAAUGUCUCAAACUUAGGGCAUCAGAAUCACCGGGGAUCUUGACAGACUGUGGGUCUUAGCAGGUCUGGGUUGGUGCCCAGGGUUCUGAAUAUUUAGCAAACUCUCAGGUGAUACUUUAGGGUAGGAAAUACUCUGGCAAAUUCCUUAAACUCAGAGCCUUCUCUGAAGCUGGAUUCCUCUGAGAAUUAAGUGGGAGAAUGUUUGUAAGGGAGUGUUUUAAAAGCCGUUGUUUCCUGCGUUCCCUGACCGUCUCCACUCCCCAGUGGUGCACCUUCCCUGUCUGUGCUUACCCAUCGCUAGCAGGGCUCCUGGCAUCUCCUAGGGCCUUAAUGUUUGUUUAGUGGUGAGGGAAUGACCCGUGGAGGAAUUAACUGGGUUUUUGUGUUACUCAGAUGAACAUAAAAUUAAGACUGCCACUUUUGUUUUUUCCUUCUUUAGGAAUGCUUUAAGAUGACCAUUAAAUCUAAGCCCUAAGUGACAGACCCAGGUGUUGGACUCUGAGCUCAUUUCUGUAUACUUCGUCCUGUGGCCGUUAACUGUAGGCUCUAUUGCCAGAAGUCAACACUCAUUGACCAUUUUCAAGUACAACUUUGUAGACUAUUUCCAGUAGUUUUUUGUUGAAAACCAUUUCUUGUAGCAAGUGUCAAAUGGUAAUUCUUGUGAACUAUUUGAAAGUAUUGAUACUGCGUUUGGUUUAAGGAGAAAUUAGAAGUGAUCAGAACAGUGGUUCUCAAAACUUGUGGGAUUUGCUCUCACCUGGAGAACUUUUUAAAAGGUAAGUUUCUGAUUUGGUCCACCUAGCACAUAGGGCCCAAGUAUAUGCAUUCUGACAAGUUCCCAGCUGAUGAUGCUUUUGCCUUGACCACUGCACUAGGAGGAUUCCCUUCUGUUGAUUUGCUGUCCUUUGGUACUCCAAACUAGAACCUGAUUGGAUGGCCAAGAAGUCAGGCCUGUGCAUCUUGUUAAAGUGAAGACCUUAACACCAGCGGCAGGCAGCAGCUGUGCUGUUUCGCUGUAGAUAAUUUGAGGAGGCCCCUAAGGCUGGGCAUUAAUCUGCUCAGUGCUUCUCCCACACAGGUAAGGCAAGCUUUGAAUAGGUACCAGAAACCAUUGUUUCCUGUCCUUGAGCAUUUGCUUUUGAAGGAAGGGUUUUAAUUGCUGAUUCUGCAAGUGUUCUGUGUAUAUUUAGUAUAAAAGUAAAAAAACUUAGUCGUUGUUUUAUUAAGUUUGUGAAAACAAAACACCAAAUUUGAACCAACAUACAACAUAUAGCAAAAAGUACACGAAAACAUCUUUGAAAGAAAGAAACAGAUAGGUUUCUAGACCAGUCCCAGACUGCCCGUGGCUGAGCUUUCUCCGUCUUAACUUGGGUUGGCUGUAAACUUGAAGGAUGGGUUGGAUCAAUGUUCGCACAGGCCUCACUGUUUUUCCUAGCCAGGUGUCUACUGUUAUUUAAUGUUUGUCUUUAGACUGCUUCCAGUUUUUGUUUUUUUGUUGCUGUUUUAUUACCAACAAAGCUGCAAGGAAUGUCUUUGUGCAUUUAUCUUCACGUACUUGUGUUUCCUUAGGAUAAAUUUUAAGAGGUAGAAUUACUGUGUCAAAGUGAUGUAAGGGUAGAUAGAUAGUACCAAUUUGCCUCCAAAAUAUUGUAGUUAUCUACUCCAACCAGUGUUGAGAGGAAACUCCUAUUUCGGGAACUGUCUCAUAAUUGUCAUUUUAUUAGCAUUUACCCCAGCCCCUAACUUGCUAACAGUGUUGCACAUAGUCAUUAACUUUUUAGAAAUAUUAAUGUGAAUUAAGUGGUUUUAAACUGGAUAAUUUCCACUUUCUACUUCUUAAAAUUCUACAGUCAAGAUGUACAGGAUUGUUCCAGCUUAUCAGUACAGAACUGAAAUCAUUCAAGUUCACACACUCCCACCCAGCCUUGUGCUACUAAUUUGUGAAUGGAAAGAUACUCCUCCUUCAACACACUAUACCACCAGGUGCCAGAAACUUGUGAACUAUAAAUCAAUGACUAGGCAAUGACUGCCCCCAUGCCAGGUUUGUGCAAAGAACUCGCAUAAUUGUAAGCACAGCCCUGCGCUGCUUCUGUGGUUCUUAAUUAUGGUCUACUAUCAUUGGAAAAUACAAAGUAGUAAUCCUAAAAUGAUAAUUAACAUUUAUUGAGCACUUAUGUGUCAGGUACUAUUGACUUUCAGUCUAACUACCCUUUCUAACAAACACUACUAUGCUGACUUUACCCAAGAGGAAACUGAUGCACAGAGAGGUCAAGGAAUCUUGUCAGUGCCAUUCAAAUCAUUCAGAAUGCCUCUAAUGCCAGUACUGUAUUCUGAAAAGUGCAAGCUACUCUAUGUUGAAACUUUUUUUUGUGUGUGUGUGAGGAAGAGUGACCCUAAGCUAACAUCUGUGCCAAUCCUCCUCUACUUAGUAUAUGGGAUGCUGCCUCAGCUUGGCUUGAUGAACAGUGUGUAGGUUCAUGCCUGGGAUCUGAACCUGCAAACCCCGGGGCUGCCAGAGUGGAGUGUGUGAAUUUAACCACUAGGCCAGCUCCUGGAACAUUUCUUAAUAGCAUAAUAAAGAUAAUUGGAACCUUGUGGAAACAUGUGGUGGGUAUAUGGAUAUUCAUCCUAUUAUUUUCUUUAUGUGCUUGAAAAGAUCUUAUUUAAGUCUUAUUUUUUAAAGUAAUAACAUGCUAUUUUUAACUCUGAGUUCUUUAUCUCUGAAAACUAAGUUAAAGCUUGACAACAUUCUUGGUCAACCAGCAUUUGGGGACCCCACUCUGGGCCAGGAGAACUCAAGGAAGCAGAAGCUGCCGCAGCUGCAGCCCUCAGGGAGUUCACGAGGUGGGGCUCAAAGCUCAGCUCCUGAUGCAGGAGGUCCUGUUCUCGGAGUCCUUUCUUGCUUGAGGAAGGGGGAAUGUGGGGAUGCACCAAGCGGGGAUCCCCAUAGGAGAUAAGCAGUACGGAAAUGAUGAAGACAAAAGUGCAAAGUGGAAUUUGAGUUUAUGGGGGAGAAAUCUCUCUCCCUUGCUCUCUUAACCACAAGAUACCACACAGUGAAGAAAACAAGAAACAGUAGCAGAGAAAUGCCCAUUGGCAGAUUAACAGAGUUGUAAGUACAGCUGCAUCCUGUUGUACCCCACAUCCCCACCCUAAAACUCUUGUCCAGCCUCCUUUGAGCUUGGGUAAUUUGAUCCUCACCUGGAGAGCCACUCUAGGCCAUAGAAGCAUAGGGAAGCUGUCAUGUGGUUCUUGGGGCCACCAAACCUCCCGCCUUACUAACCUGAGCCAAGAAGCAGAGAAGGCCUUGGUUUCUAGCAGGGAUAAAUGUGCCUGACUCCAGGAAAAGACUUGCUCAGACCACAAAUGCAUCUAUUUAUAUCUCGUAAUCUGCUGGGCCAGCAACAUGCUAAUAACCAGCUGGGCACGAUGGAGAGGCCACAGGCCAACUGUCAGAAUGGCGAGAGCCCUGCACUCGUGGUCAGAGAAAAUAACAGACGUGGAAGCGCUGCAUCAGCCAAAAAGCGGCAUAUGAAGUAUUCCAGCUGUUGUUACUGUGAGCUGGUUUCACCACCUACUGGUUUAUGUCCUUGGACAAGUCAACCUGUCUGAGCCUCAGUUUCUUCAUCUAUAAAAUGGAAACAGUAACUCUCUGUUUAUCUUAUAGGGCUCUUGGAAACUCAGAUGACAUAAUUUAUGCAAAAAUUCCCUGUAAACUGAGCAAAUGUAAAGUAGUAUUACUGAUAUCUGUUCUACUUAAAAACAGGACGAGCAAAGAGUGAUGGAUUCCAGGGCAGAAGUCAGUGGAGAGCAGCUGGUGUAACCUUGGACACCAUCCUAGAGGAAGUCUUGGUAACAGCCACAUUUUCAAAGAGAUCAUGAGGAGUGCAUGAUUUUGUUAGCCUUGUGGUUUCACCAGCGUGAUCACCAGGCCUUUUCUGGGAAAGAACACAGUGGGAAGUGGAAACUGUAAAUGGACACGCUCCUUGGGAGUCCUCAGUCCCCCACACAGGCCCCCCUGUCAGCCCCUGACUAGUCUUCACACUUCAGGCUAGGAAAUCACCCCACGGUUUUGAAGAGAAACGUGAUGUUGGUGAAAUGCCAGAUUGGAAACCAAAGGCUUGUGGGUGGCCCAGCAGCACCACAGCCAGAAGGAGACUCCAAACUGGGCUAGAAGAGAGAAACAAUUGGUAAGGCCAAGGAGACCAUAGUCGGAGUCGGGUCUGAGGACGAAGAGAGUCCCCACAUGGGAAAAAAGUCCUGGGGUCAGAAUGGAAAUGAGUGGACAAGAAACAAAGUGGGAGGAGGUGAGAGCAAGCAAUUUUGGCGAGGUGCCGCGAGCAGCAUCUCCUGGGCCUCCUUCCCACACGGAUAGUACACGCGCCUCAGAACUCACAGCGCCCACGAUCCUACCACUCAGAGGAUUGUCUGGUGGCUUCCUCUCGGUUAGAUUGGAGUUGUGGGUUUUGGACAGCGUCCCUCGGAGGUGAGGUGCCCUUCUCAUCGCGUCGAGGUGGAUGGCGGUGCAAGACCUCCCUGGGGAAGUUGACCUCCAUCACUGGGUAGUGCAGUUUGCAGCGUCCUCCCCUAUCAAGCUGGAAUCCAUUUUCCAGGCUCAGGACUGUUAGGUGUGGCCAUGUGACUGUAUUCUGGCCAACGGCAUGUGAGCAGAGUAGCAGGCACGACUUCUAGGUCCCUGAAGACCUCCCAAGCACAAUCCUCACUCUCUGCCAUCGGUUCUCCUGCUGAAGGGAGAGGACUUUAAGGAGAAAAAAAGGAUGGAGCCACAAGGCAGAAAAGGCCUGGGCCCCUGAGUGAUUAUGUGGAGCAGGGCCCCUUCCCCACCUUUCCUACCUCCUUCUCCUCCCCCUCUUUCCUUCCUCUCUCUCUUCUUUCCUACUUCUUCCUUUCUCUUUUCCUUCCUCUCCUCAGUCCUUCCACCAACUCACAAUGGACUGUAAACGAGAAAUAAGCUCUUGUUAUGUUAAACUACUGGCCUUUUGGGUUUAUUUAUUACAACAGCUGGAGUUAUUUGCUUAUCUAACACACAAUGGAGUGUACCUUAGGGGGUAUUUCCCAAACUGAGAUGUCCUACUCCUUUGAGAAACUUUCUCCUGCACAAAUGGGAGUGGGCCUGAACUGUGAAGAAUUAACCUCACCCAAACAGAAGUCUGGUCUUUGCUCUCAGCUACUGGGAGGUGAUCUCCAGGCGUGGAAUGUCCCAUCUGAUGUGAGCGUCCUUGUUUUCCUGGGGUUUUAGCUACUGGACCGUCUAACAGUGUGAUUUAUGAUGAGGGCUUUGGGCCACACGGUAUCAGUUCUGACCUCUGGACUGAAUGGAGACAAAAGAUAUGAGCCCAGCCUCUGGAAGCCAUGGAGACUAAAGGUCAGCCGCACUGGCAGCAUGUCAUGGAGCCCCAGUAAAAACUGGGAGAAGGUUGCCCAUCCACGACUUCACAGGUCACGACCAGAAGCCCCAUAUUUGAACCUCCCUGGACUCUGCCCUACGUGUGUCUUCCCUUGGCUGGUUCCAGUUUGUAGCCAUUCUCUGUAAUAAAACUCACCUGGGAGUGUAUUAGUUUUCAAUGUUUCCUCGCGGUCUUCAGGCACUUGGUGUUGAAGAGGAGAAGCAUGACGAUGUUUGAUUCCUUUUCUCUGAGGUAGCCUUUGUAACAAAAUGUCUCAAUAUUUGUCAGAUUUCUUUUUCUAUCCUUAAAAUUUUUUAAAGUUCAGAUUAAAAAAAUAAGAUUGGAGAUUACAGGAAAUUUGGAAAGUACAGAAAAUUUACAGAAAAUUAAAAACAACCAAUGAAACUACUACCUCACGAUAACUAUUGUUAAUAUUUUUUGGUGUGUUGCCUUCCACAUACUUUAAAAAUACACUAUUUAUACUAUAACAUACUAUAAAUACACUAUUAAAAAUACAGUAAAAAUAAAGGUAAUAAUAUCAUUAUAAUUUUAUGCACAGCAGAGAAACUUUUAAAAUUAUCUGAAUUUGUAAACAAUUCUAAGAUAUUUAACUGAAAGAUAGUGGUUCUUAAAACUGGCAGCUGUGGAGCCUCAUUGAGAAUGGGAUAAAAUCUGAGCCCUCCAGAAAAGGCAGUAUACACAAACGUCCAAAAUUCUGCACACAAUUUCAAAGAGUUCAUGAAGUCACUCUACAUAGUCCAAAUUAAGAAGCCUUGAUAAUAACGACUAACAUCUAUUGGGUAAUCUCUAUGUGCUAGGCACUCUUCUAAGGGUUGUAUAUGUAUUAACUAAUUUAAGCUUUAUCAUAACCCCAUGAGGAAGGUAAU